GACGAACGCUGGCGGCGUGCUUAACACAUGCAAGUCGAACGGUGAAGCGCCUUCCUUUUUGGUGGGUGUGGAUGAGUGGCGAACGGGUGAGUAACACGUGAGUAACCUGCCCCCUUCUUCUGGAUAACCGCAUGAAAGUGUGGCUAAUACGGGAUAUUCUGGGUCUGUCGCAUGAUGGGUCUGGGAAAGAUAUUGUUUCGGUGGGGGAUGGGCUCGCGGCCUAUCAGCUUGUUGGUGGGGUGAUGGCCUACCAAGGCGGUGACGGGUAGCCGGCCUGAGAGGGUGGGCGGUCACACUGGGACUGAGACACGGCCCAGACUCCUACGGGGGGCAGCAGUGGGGAAUAUUGCACAGUGGGCGCAAGCCUGAUGCAGCGACGCCGCGUGCGGGAUGGAGGCCUUCGGGUUGUGAACCUCUUUCGCCAGUGAAGCAGGCCUGCCUCGUUUGUGGGUGGGUUGACGGUAGCUGGAGAAGAAGCGCCGGCUAACUACGUG
Molecule: ribosomal RNA, 494 nt
Filed under: uncultured bacterium
Lineage: Bacteria
Description: partial 16S ribosomal RNA
Rfam family: Bacterial small subunit ribosomal RNA
Source: RNAcentral